RNAcentral lists this ribosomal RNA (250 nucleotides) under uncultured prokaryote. RNAcentral describes it as "partial 16S ribosomal RNA". It matches the Rfam family "Bacterial small subunit ribosomal RNA", at positions 524 to 773 of the family's 1533-position model. The record is from RNAcentral.
UACGUAGGGGGCAAGCGUUAUCCGGACUUACUGGGUGUAAAGGGAGCGUAGACGGAAUAGCAAGUUUGAAGUGAGAUACCUGGGCUUAACCCAGGAAUUGCUUUGAAAACUGUUAAUCUAGAGUACUGGAGGGGUGUGGGGAAUUCCUAGUGUAGUAGUGAAAUGCGUAGAUAUUAGGAGGAACACCGGAGGCGAAGGCGCCAUACUGGACAGAUACUGAUGUUGAGGCUCGAAGGCGUGGGGAGCAAAC